Cimex lectularius (bed bug) is the source of this 259-nucleotide long non-coding RNA. RefSeq lists it as uncharacterized. The record is from RefSeq and is a predicted model, not a curated record. The transcript has 2 exons. NCBI's taxonomy places the organism in Eukaryota, Metazoa, Arthropoda, Insecta, Hemiptera, Cimicidae.
GUCAGGGGUUGUACUCGUCUUUCGCCAUGGCUUCUCUCCUGGAGAACCCCGUCGUCUCUGUCCUCACGAUUUCCGUCUUCAUCUUCCUAUUCUUCAAGUUCUGCCUCGGCAUGGAACCUGUGCCAAUCGAAGACUUCAACUGAACAACGAACUGAACCGCCGGCAAGAACCAAGACUUCCGAAACUGCAUCCUCAGGAACACUGAAGAAACAUGUUCAUCAAUGUGAUAUAUAUAAAUAAAUUUAAUUUUAGUUGUUAA